GGAAUUGUGCCUGAACAAAGGAUUACUUUGAUAGAGUAAAUAAUAAGGGUUAAAACCCCUUCUAUUCCU
Molecule: transfer RNA, 69 nt
Filed under: Fundulopanchax gardneri (blue lyretail)
Lineage: Eukaryota; Metazoa; Chordata; Actinopteri; Cyprinodontiformes; Nothobranchiidae
Description: tRNA-Ile
Rfam family: tRNA
About the family: Transfer RNA (tRNA) molecules are approximately 80 nucleotides in length. Their secondary structure includes four short double-helical elements and three loops (D, anti-codon, and T loops).
Source: RNAcentral